AUUGAACGCUGGCGGCAGGCCUAACACAUGCAAGUCGAGCGGAGCGGCGGACGGGUGAGUAAUGUAUGGGGAUCUGCCCGAUAGAGGGGGAUAACUACUGGAAACGGUGGCUAAUACCGCAUCCUGUCGGAUGAACCCAUAUGGGAUGAGCUAGUAGGUAAGGUAAUGGCGUACAUAGGCGACUAUCCGUACAUGGUCUGAGAGGAUGAUCAGUCACACUGGAACUGAGACACGGUCCAGACUCCUACGGGAGGCAGCAGUGGGGAAUAUGGGACAAUGGGCGAAAGCCUGAUCCAGCCAUGCCGCGUGUGUGAAGAAGGUCUUCGGAUUGUAAAGCACUUUAAGUUGGGAGGCGUUACCAACAGAAUAAGCACCGGCUAACUUCGUGCCAGCAGCCGCGGUAAUUC
RNAcentral lists this ribosomal RNA (407 nucleotides) under uncultured bacterium. RNAcentral's name for it is "partial 16S ribosomal RNA". It matches the Rfam family "Bacterial small subunit ribosomal RNA", at positions 30 to 526 of the family's 1533-position model. The record is from RNAcentral.